AAAUUUUAUGAUAAAAUUACAUGAUUUCCCCCUCCCUCUCUCUCUCGGUGGGCACACUCCGUCACUUCCUUUCGCCACACCCCUUUCUCUCUCCGGUAGCAUCUCCACCACCUGUAACCCGACAAAACUCAGCUGCAUACGGAAGCAGAUGUCAAUCUACGCUCUCCCUUUGGGAAUCGUUUCGCUGCCCUAACCAUCCACAGGCCAGAGAGAGGCGCAAUGAAAAUUGGAGCCGAUACGCCAACUACUGUUUUUUAAUGUCAGCUACCAUGGAACAAGAAAUGCUUGGUUCACAUAUCUCAGCCGUAGAAAGUUGCACAAAACACUCAUAUGGGUAUGGUUCCUGCAAUUGUCUGGUCUCAUUCAUGUAAGUGUUCUGUACCACUUUCUGCAGCAUUGUUACCUCUGCCACCAGUCACCACCAUUGGCCCUCACGGUGAUUAGAGCACGCAACAAAAAGCAUAUUGCUGUUCUUUCAAUACCCAUUUUGAUUAGGUCUGCCUUUGGGACUCAUUUCGCUGCCCUAACCAUUACAAGCCAUAGAGAGAGAGAGAGAGGCGCAACAAAAAAAGAACAACCCUCCCGAAAUGGUGGUUGCAAAUCUUGGUACUCUCAGUAGCCGGUUACUACCUUUUGGAGCUCUGCUAACCAAAAUUUUCAAAGCACAUCAUGUCAGCAUUGAAGGUGAAGUAAAUGUGAAAAUUGCUUCACCAAUUUCAGAGUAUGCACUAACCCGAGCUGGUGGCGUUGAAAACUUACUGGGAUCUAUUAAUUUUGCAACUGAACCAAUACCUGAUCUCGAAGACCCCAAUGGCAAUGCCAUGCCACCAAAUCAACAACCCCAAUACUGGACUGAUUAUUUGGCGCUAGAACAAGAACGGUGCAAUCAACGCAUACUGUAAUAACUAGACCCUCGCAUGUGUUUCUGAGUCAUUAUAUAAAAUAUCUCUUGAGAGAGAAUUGGGAGAGGAGCGUUUUAGAGGAAGAGGAAGAGUUCAUCAAGGAGGAAAAUUGGGGGAUUUGAGAGGGUUUAUGGAAAUUUAAGCUCAAGGGCACACUUCGGGAGGAACCCUCGCUCCGCCACAGCACUGUAAUAAAUCUGGAGGUCAGCCAUAACCCUCGAUGCUCGUCUCCCUUUGUCAACCUCUGUGUAUCCAAGCAUUUGGGUGAAGCCUACCCGUUUUUGUGAAGUUUGCUAAGUUUUGGCUUAUACUCUGUUUGUCUAUUAUAUGUUGAAGUUCCCAAUGUUUUUGUUAUAUGCCCAACCAAGGGGAGGGGUUGUCUAUGUGUAUGUAAAUAUCAUCUGAUUCACUGUUUGUGAUCCUGGCAUGAUAGUGGUCGCUCAAUGGAUGUAGUUUCUUUUUUAUCUCAUGUUAUUUUAUAAUAUUUAAUGCUUCCGUUCAGGCCCCAUAUGUGUGUAUAUCAGAUUUAAUGUCCGUUUCCGAUUAGGUCAUGCCCAAACUUUUAGGAGCGGGUUUGGGGUGUGACACAUACAAUGGGAACAACAAAUGGCUAAUCAGGUUAAUACAUUGGGUAAUCGGUUCAAUGAAUUUGCCGUUGCUCAGAACUCACUAAUUCAACAAUUUGGUGAGUUUUGUGUAGACUCUGGGCGACGUGAUGAAGUGACAAGUAACCGCGUUGAUCAGAUUGACCAUCGAGUCACUCAGUUGUACCAUCACUCUUCCCUCCACCUCCACCACCACCUGACAAUGAUGCUUAACUUAUUUCGAUGAGCGAUUAAAUGGUUGACACAUGUUGUGGUUAUUUUGUUUUCUUAAUUACUACCCAUUGGGCUAUGAAGCAUGGUGUAAGAGCAUCUUCAAAAUUAUAUCCCGUAUUGGUGCAACUGUAAUUGUUUUUUUAUUUAUCAAAUGUCAAAUAUGAAUGUUAUUUUGUUGGAGUGAUAAGAAAAGAAUAAAAACAAACGACAAACAUUUAUAAUUA
This is a non-coding RNA of Camellia sinensis, 1944 nucleotides long. The record is from RefSeq and is a predicted model, not a curated record. NCBI's taxonomy places the organism in Eukaryota, Viridiplantae, Streptophyta, Magnoliopsida, Ericales, Theaceae.